Molecule: non-coding RNA, 45 nt
Organism: Cyphomyrmex costatus
Lineage: Eukaryota; Metazoa; Arthropoda; Insecta; Hymenoptera; Formicidae
Source: Rfam
AAAACGGCCUUUUAUAAGGCCACAUAAACUGUAAUAAAAAUCAGU